GUCAAAGCAGGGACAGGAUCUCUUCCCCACCCACCCAAAUGACGCCCUCGGUCUGUUUCCGCUGGGAUCCGGAGAAGCUGACCCUCUCACCGGGGGGUCUUCCCGGGGCGCCUAGGCCAGGGCGGGCCCCCAGCGUCGUCCUCUCCCACCCCCCCACUCCCCUGCCCACACAUUCUGGAUCAAAGCAGACAUGCGGCCGGCGCUCUGCGAUCCAAGGCACACUGGGGUCUUUCAUCCGGUGUUUUUAAAAAGGAGGAAACAAAAGGCUCAGAGGCAGGGCCCCAGGUGCGCUCGCCCGCGGGGGCUGCGGCGCGGACGACCGAAGAAAACCACGACUUCCUGGAAAAGUCUUCACCGUAAAUAUUAAUCUCUUUGGCAUGAAGAGGAAAACACUGCAGCUAAUUUUUCAUGGGAUAACAAAAAUAUAAACUGCAAUUUCUUUUAUUUUUUCCCUUUCGAUGGUCUUUUUAAACGAGGAGUAAAGAUUUCAACGCCAGGUCCAUUUUCCAAAUUUUGUACCAGAACCUUGAGGAUGCUUGUCUCUCGCGCGCUUCUCCGCAGACCGAACCCUCUCCGGAACUCAGAGCUGUUCACCCAAGUCAGCGGAGGAGGCCUCCUGGGACUUGAGCCUGAGGGUGGCGAAGAACCCUAGGCAGAGAUCAUCAACUUGGUACCGAUGAGUGACGCGGAGCUUGAACAUUCCAGCGACUUGCUCCAGGGCCACUCCCAGUUAAGAGGCUGAGUGUUAACUGCAAGAGGCUGAGUGUUAACUACGCCGUUGGCUCCAGGAACCGAACCGGGUUUGGAUACAGACCCAGUCACACCAUCCAUGAAAAGCUGUUUCUAUAAUAUGAAAAAUUGUUAAAUGACGCUUUAGUAAAAGCCAUUUAAAGAUCUUUUCUAAUAAAUUUUUCAUCUUUCCAAACAAUGCCGCUAAUUACCUUCUGAUACAGUGCGUUUCCAAAAUGUUUAUGAACUGAAAACAAAAAUAAAAAACUACAUUUUUAUGUUGUAAAGGGAGUGGGGGGGACUUUCUAAAAUUUGUCGUAUUAUAGCACUUCUCAUGACAACUUGACCCUUUAGGCAUAAUUUUUGACAAAAUGUCUUGUUCUUUUUCUUUUUACAGCUGAACGUCUUAAAUUCAAGGAGUAAACACAUAUAAUGAGAUAAAAGUUUAUCACUGUUAGCACAACCAAUAAUUUGCAUCGUAGUCUCAAUUUCCUCGAAUCU
This 1230-nucleotide long non-coding RNA is filed under the name Homo sapiens (human). RNAcentral describes it as "non-protein coding lnc-CAGE1-1:4". The record is from RNAcentral. Lineage: Eukaryota; Metazoa; Chordata; Mammalia; Primates; Hominidae.